GAUCAUGGCUCAGGACGAACGCUGGCGGCGCGCCUAACACAUGCAAGUCGAACGAGAGAUGAGGAGCUUGCUCUUCAAAUCGAGUGGCGAACGGGUGAGUAACGCGUGAGGAGCCUGCCUCAAAAGAGGGGGACAACAGUUGGAAACGACUGCUAAUACCGCAUAAGCCCACGGCUCGGCAUCGAGCAGAGGGAAAAGGAAGCGAUCCGCUUUGUAGAUGGCCUCGCGUCCG
Molecule: ribosomal RNA, 232 nt
Filed under: uncultured bacterium
Lineage: Bacteria
Description: partial 16S ribosomal RNA
Rfam family: Bacterial small subunit ribosomal RNA
Source: RNAcentral